This 406-nucleotide ribosomal RNA is filed under the name uncultured bacterium. Its description in RNAcentral is "partial 16S ribosomal RNA". It matches the Rfam family "Bacterial small subunit ribosomal RNA", at positions 30 to 526 of the family's 1533-position model. The record is from RNAcentral.
AUUGAACGCUGGCGGCAGGCCUAACACAUGCAAGUCGAACGAGAGGAGGACGGGUGAGUAAUGUCUGGGAAACUGCCUGAUGGAGGGGGAAAACUACUGGAAAAGGUAGCUAAUACCGCAUACCAUCAGAUGUGCCCAGAUGGGAGUAGCUAGUUGGGGGGGUAACGGCUAACCAAGGCGACGAUCCCUAGCUGGUCUGAGAGGAUGACCGGCCACACUGGAACUGAGACACGGUCCAGACUCCUACGGGAGGCAGCAUUGGGGAAUAUUGCACAAUGGGCGCAAGCCUGAUUCAGCCAUGCCGCGUGUAUGAAGAAGGCCUUCGGGUUGUAAAGUACUUUCACCGGAGAGGCGUUACCCGCAGAGGAAGCCCCGGCUAACUCCGUGCCAGCAGCCGCGGUAAUAC